This 496-nucleotide ribosomal RNA is filed under the name uncultured bacterium. RNAcentral's name for it is "partial 16S ribosomal RNA". It matches the Rfam family "Bacterial small subunit ribosomal RNA", at positions 29 to 507 of the family's 1533-position model. The record is from RNAcentral.
AUGAACGCUGGCGGCGUGCCUAAUACCUGCCAGUCGAGCGAACAGACGAGGAGCUUGCUCCUCUGACGUUAGCGGCGGACGGGUGAGUAACACGUGGAUAACCUACCUAUAAGACUGGGAUAACUUCGGGAAACCGGAGCUAAUACCGGAUAAUAUAUUGAACCGCAUGGUUCAAUAGUGAAAGACGGUUUUGCUGUCACUUAUAGAUGGAUCCGCACCGCAUUAGCUAGUUGGUAAGGUAACGGCUUACCAAGGCAACGAUGCGUAGCCGACCUGAGAGGGUGAUCGGCCACACUGGAACUGAGACACGGUCCAGACUCCUACGGGAGGCAGCAGUAGGGAAUCUUCCGCAAUGGGCGAAAGCCUGACGGAGCAACGCCGCGUGAGUGAUGAAGGUCUUCGGAUCGUAAAACUCUGUUAUUAGGGAAGAACAAAUGUGUAAGUAACUAUGCACGUCUUGACGGUACCUAAUCAGAAAGCCACGGCUAACUACGUG